RNAcentral lists this unclassified non-coding RNA (289 nucleotides) under plant metagenome. RNAcentral's name for it is "partial contains small subunit ribosomal RNA, internal transcribed spacer 1, and 5.8S ribosomal RNA". The stretch from base 241 to 289 matches the Rfam family "5.8S ribosomal RNA", at positions 1 to 49 of the family's 154-position model. The record is from RNAcentral.
UUUCCGUAGGUGAACCUGCGGAAGGAUCAUUAAUGAGUUGUCAUGGGGUUCGAUGCUGGCAGCCAAUUUUUGGAUGCAUGUGCUUGCCCUAACAAUCAUCUUCCAAACACCUGUGCACAUUUUUGAGGGAGUCUUGAGUUGGUUGCCGCUCUUGGGUGAUUUUCUCACAUUCCCUUAAAUCAUUAUACGCUAUUAACAAUGUUGAACGUGCACUGUGCCGCAAGGCUAUUAAUAUAAUACAACUUUUAACAACGGAUCUCUUGGCUCUCGCAUCGAUGAGGAACGCAGC